GUGUCAGCAGCCGCGGUAAUACGGAGGGGGCUAGCGUUGUUCGGAUUUACUGGGCGUAAAGCGCACGUAGGCGGACUGGCCAGUCAGGGGUGAAAGGCCUGGGCUCAACCCGGGAACUGCCUUUGAUACUGCCAGUCUCGAGUCCGGGAGAGGUAAGCGGAAUUCCAAGUGUAGAGGUGAAAUUCGUAGAUAUUUGGAAGAACACCAGUGGCGAAGGCGGCUUACUGGACCGGUACUGACGCUGAGGUGCGAAAGCGUGGGGAGCGAACAGGAUUAGAUACCCUGGUAGUCCACGCCGUAAACGAUGAGUGCUAGUUGUCGGGAGUUCGGCUUUCGGUGACGCAGCCAACGCGUUAAGCACUCCGCCUGGGGAGUACGGCCGCAAGGUUAAAACUUAAAUGAAUUGGCGGGG
RNAcentral lists this ribosomal RNA (412 nucleotides) under uncultured prokaryote. RNAcentral's name for it is "bacterial SSU rRNA". It matches the Rfam family "Bacterial small subunit ribosomal RNA", at positions 505 to 918 of the family's 1533-position model. The record is from RNAcentral.